This is a long non-coding RNA of Oncorhynchus kisutch (coho salmon), 1236 nucleotides long. RefSeq lists it as uncharacterized. The transcript is spliced from 2 exons. Lineage: Eukaryota; Metazoa; Chordata; Actinopteri; Salmoniformes; Salmonidae. The record is from RefSeq and is a predicted model, not a curated record.
AAACACGGAAAUGGUUAUAAUCGUUUUUCCACCAUUCAUUUUAUCCCUGCAUUGUAGAUUUUAGAAACACUUCAAAUAAGUGUUUCGCGUAGGCUUACGUUUUGAUAACCAUGUAAAUGUCUAUCGUUAAAGGUGACGUUUAUCAAUAUAUUCGCCUGUAGUUAGCCCCCCAAAAAUGAAACGCUAAUUAGCUGCUAAUGUGGUUAUCAUACAGAACUACAAAUGCCUGUCUCAAGCGUCAUGUCACUCAUCAGGGUCAUGAUAAUCUGGAUGUAUCUGCCGAAUAUAGACAAAAAACACGUGAGGACCUCGAUUUGAACACCGCAACUGAGAUGGACUGACGUUGACGGACACACGCUGAGACCACGAGUAUGACUGGACAUGGGAUGGAUAUUUGUGAAGACCUAAAAGGGGUGCAAAAGCACACCAACUUAUUUUUUAUUCCAUGGCCAACCAUCUCGGGCUGAAAGCCUCAACCUAAUUGGUUGAUCACAGGUUAGGGUAUAUAUAUAUUCAAUGUCACCCUGAAGGUUGCCAGGGCAAGCUGUUUCUUGUACAUACAUUCAAUUGUAAAAUGCACAAACAUUUUAGUAAAAUGAGUAUUCUUGAGUGAAUAACAUAAAAUCCCACUUUUGUAUGUCCAAUAGGUUAUGAAAAGCAUCAACAAUUUAACAUGACCUUAUGGUGAGUGACAUUUAAUGAAGUGAGAUGACUGGAUUAAUAUUUACAUUCAAGUUCUCUCUGUACACAUACAAUUGCUUGAAAAAUCAACCCCAAUAUGAAUGAAGAAAAGAUCCAUGGAAGGGUGAUCCAAAGGGGGUUGGUUGUAUCUACACAGUAAAAAACAUAUAUUUGGCUUUCUAUUCGUGCAUAUCUAUUCCGUGCUCUUAAACUGAGUUCAUAUCUCCCAUGGUCUUAACUUAAAUAGAUAAAGUUUUGACCAGUUCAAAUCCAGGUUGAAACUCCCCAUAAAAGAGUCUUUAUCAACAGGAUCAUAUUGCCCUAUCAGGUUAGAAUGUUGUUUAAACAAGAGUAAAACUGGGUUAAAUGAGACCUAUUCUUAGUUUGAGGAACAGCACUUCAUGUAAGUCCAUCUCUCGUGAAGUAUUAGCUGCAUUAUCUGCUGUAUGGAAACUAUUCCACAAUGGGUGGUACCACAUACACUGAAAAAAAAUAUAAACACAACAUGUGUUGGUCCCAUGUUUCAUGAGCUGAAAUAAAAGAUCCCAGAAAUUG